RNAcentral lists this long non-coding RNA (1681 nucleotides) under Marmota monax (woodchuck). Lineage: Eukaryota; Metazoa; Chordata; Mammalia; Rodentia; Sciuridae. The record is from RNAcentral.
CAUGUCAUGUAGCCUUUGGAAAAUUCCAUAGUACCUUUGUAAGAGAAUGAGAGUGAAAAAGGUAAUAUCUUUUUAUCAUGAAAAUAAUAAAAUAAUUCCAUGAGACUCCUUUCUCCCCAUGGUUGCCCCAAGGUUCCCUGAAACACUUUGAGAACUGUUAAGUAGACUAUUUCAUGUCAGGAAUGGCAGAGCGGAUGGUGUUGAAAGUUGGCUUAGGGAACUAAUGUGACAACAGAGGCUGAAUCUUCCCAUUUCUUAGUACACAUUGGCUUUGAUUGAGUCUGAAGUCAUGGCAAUAUUACAUUUUUAAUCAUUAUUUUGCCAUAGAAUAUAUUGGAUUUCUUGGCAGUGCUGGAUUCUUUAACAAAAACUCCUUUAUCUGCCUGAACUCUGCCGAAAACUAUGUGUUUCAAUGUUGUUGUUUGUUACUGUGAAGUUGCUGAAAUGUAAUUAGGGACCCUCUCUCACUUGAACGAUUGGCAUGAUUUUGUGUGAAGUUUGCAAAAUCUUACAUGAAAUACUUGUGCUCAGAAUACUUACUUCUAAGUGCUGGCAACAUGGUAGAGUUUGGGCCAGAGUUACUGACUAUCAGAGCCACAAAUUUACUUCAAAUAACCUUUUGUUCCUCUUUCCAUCACCCCAUAAACCGAUUAUCAAGACAAAUACUGAGCUAAUGAAAUGCUUCUUUGCCACAAACUUUUUUGCAAUAUCCUGCUAAAUUUAGACAAUUAAUAGCUAAAGACAUUCUUCAUUUGUUUACUACAUCCACUCCUUCAUUCACUUACUCAAUAAUAUAUAUUGAAUGCCUAUUACCAGAAAACUGCAUAUUACCUGUCAGUCCUGCAAUUGCCUGGGGAAAAUGCUGAAAUUUAUAUAUAAAUCUGAAGAUCUUCCACAUGGCAUAUUUGGAAUAUCCUAGUUAUUAAGAACAGAUUAUGGCUAGGUGUGGAGGCCCAGACCUGUAAUCCUAGCAACUAAGGCAGGAAGAUCGCAAAUUUGAGGCCAGCCUCAACAAUUUAGCAAGGCCCUAAGCAACUUAGUGAAACCCUGUCUCAAAAUAAAUAAAUAAAUAAAAAAGGCUGGGAUGUGACUCAGUGGUUAAGCGCCACUGAGUUCAAUCCCUGGCACCAAAAAUGAACGUGUAGCUCAGUGGUAGAGUGCAUGCCUAGCAUUCAUGAGGCCCUGCCUUGGUUCAAUCCUUAGCGCUGCAAGAAAAUUUUUAAAUAAACAAAAUGCCACUCUCAGUUCUUUGCUGUUGUUUGGGGAUGGGGCACACUGAGUGGAGGAGAGACUUUUCUUUUAGAAUUCCUUGAGGAAAGUAGUUGAAAUCUCCUAAAACUCAGCAGGAUUUCUGGGUUAUCUCUAUCUUGCUCAUCUCUAUUCAGAUCCCAUCUGAGCCCAUUCUGUCAGUUUCUCCCUGAAUCAUGUGACAGGAAGGGUUUCAUAAGGACAUGCAUUUUUUGCCAGGCAUGGUGGCACACACCAUGUGGUAAUCCACUUGUAAUCCCAGUGACCAGGAAAGCUGAGGCAGGAGGGUCAUAAAUUCAAGGCCUGCCUCAGCAACUUAGUGAAGCCCUAAGCAACUUAGCAAGACCCUGUAUCAAAUUAAAAAAAAUAAAGACUGGGGAUAUGGCUCAGUGAUAAAGCACCCCUGGGUUCAAUCCCCAGUGCCAAAAAAAAA